GAAGAACGCUGGCGGCGUGCUUAACACAUGCAAGUCGAACGGUGACCCUCGGAGCUUGCUUCGGGGUGAGCAGUGGCGAACGGGUGAGUACCACGUGAGUACCCUGCCCCUGACUCUGGAAUAAGCGCUGGAAACCGCGUCUAAUACCGGAUCCGACACGCCUCCGCAUGGGGAGCGUGUGGAACGUUUUUCGGUCUGGGAUGGACUCGCGGCCUAUCAGCUUGUUGGUGAGGUAAUGGCUCACCAAGGCGAUGACGGGUAGCCUGCCUGAGAGGGCGACCGGCCACACUGGGACUGGGACACGGCCCAGACUCCUACGGGAGGCAGCAGUGGGGAAUAUUGCACCAUGGGCGAAAGCCUGAUGCAGCGACGCAGCGUGAGGGAUGACGGCCUUCGGGUUGUAAACCUCUUUCAGCAGGGAAGAAGCGAAAGUGACGGUACCUGCAGAAGAAGCACCGGCUAACUACGUGCCAGCAGCCGCAGUAA
This 486-nucleotide ribosomal RNA is filed under the name uncultured bacterium. RNAcentral's name for it is "partial 16S ribosomal RNA". It matches the Rfam family "Bacterial small subunit ribosomal RNA", at positions 31 to 523 of the family's 1533-position model. The record is from RNAcentral.